This 76-nucleotide transfer RNA is filed under the name Chloroflexota bacterium. RNAcentral describes it as "Chloroflexi bacterium tRNA-Ala". It matches the Rfam family "tRNA". Rfam says of the family: Transfer RNA (tRNA) molecules are approximately 80 nucleotides in length. Their secondary structure includes four short double-helical elements and three loops (D, anti-codon, and T loops). Lineage: Bacteria; Bacillati; Chloroflexota. RNAcentral also lists the same sequence under 1 other name. The record is from RNAcentral.
GGGGAUAUAGCUCAAUCGGGAGAGCGCGGCGUUCGCAUCGCCGAGGUUGGGGGUUCGAAUCCCCCUAUCUCCACCA